AGAGUUUGAUCAUGGCUCAGAACGAACGCUGGCGGCGUGCCUAAUACAUGCAAGUCGAGCGAGAAAGUCUCUUCGGAGGCGAGUAAAGCGGCGCACGGGUGAGUAACACGUGGGCAACCUGCCCUUGAGUCUGGGAUAACCCGGGGAAACCCGGGCUAAUACCGGAUACGGCUACGGGGUCUUUGGAUUCUGUAGAGAAAGAUGGCCUCUUCAUGAAUGCUAUCUCUCAAGGAUGGGCCCGCGUCCUAUUAGCUAGUUGGUGGGGUAAUGGCUCACCAAGGCAAAGAUGGGUAGCUGGUCUGAGAGGAUGACCAGCCACACUGGAACUGAGACACGGUCCAGACUCCUACGGGAGGCAGCAGUAGGGAAUUUUGGGCAAUGGGCGAAAGCCUGACCCAGCAACGCCGCGUGUGGGAUGAAGGCCCUCGGGUCGUAAACCACUGUCAGGAGGAAAGAAAAGCCGGCCGGGUAAUAUUCGGUCGGCCUGACGGUACCUCCAAAGGAAGCACCGGCUAACUCCGUGCCAGCAGCCGCGGUAAUACGGAGGGUGCAAGCGUUGUUCGGAAUUACUGGGCGUAAAGCGCGUGUAGGUGGUUGAGUAAGUCGAAUGUGAAAGCCCCGGGCUCAACCCGGGAAGUGCAUCCGAAACUGCUCGACUAGAGUCCCGGAGAGGAAGGCAGAAUUCCCAAUGUAGGGGUGAAAUCCGUAGAUAUUGGGAGGAAUACCGGUGGCGAAGGCGGCCUUCUGGACGGUGACUGACACUCAGACGCGAAAGCGUGGGGAGCAAACAGGAUUAGAUACCCUGGUAGUCCACGCUGUAAACGUUGCGAACUAGGUGUCGGGGGUAUUCACCCCUCCGGUGCCGAAGCUAACGUCUUAAGUUCGCCGCCUGGGAAGUACGGCCGCAAGGCUAAAACUCAAAGGAAUUGACGG
Molecule: ribosomal RNA, 933 nt
Filed under: uncultured bacterium
Lineage: Bacteria
Description: bacterial SSU rRNA
Rfam family: Bacterial small subunit ribosomal RNA
Source: RNAcentral